This 323-nucleotide ribosomal RNA is filed under the name uncultured eukaryote. RNAcentral's name for it is "partial 18S ribosomal RNA". It matches the Rfam family "Eukaryotic small subunit ribosomal RNA", at positions 1470 to 1796 of the family's 1831-position model. The record is from RNAcentral.
CCCUUAGAUGUCCUGGGCCGCACGCGCGCUACACUGAUGCAUUCAACGAGUUUUACCUUGGCCGAGAGGCCUGGGCAAUCUUUUGAACGUGCAUCGUGAUAGGGAUAGAUUAUUGCAAUUAUUAAUCUUGAACGAGGAAUUCCUAGUAAACGCAGUUCAUCAAACUGCAUUGAUUACGUCCCUGCCCUUUGUACACACCGCCCGUCGCACCUACCGAUUGGAUGGUCCGGUGAAGCCUCGGGAUUGUGGCGGUUGCCUUUAUUGGUGGCCGCCGCGAGAACUUGUCUAAACCUUAUCAUCUAGAGGAAGGUGAAGUCGUAACA